Molecule: ribosomal RNA, 1441 nt
Filed under: uncultured bacterium
Lineage: Bacteria
Description: bacterial SSU rRNA
Rfam family: Bacterial small subunit ribosomal RNA
Source: RNAcentral
GACGAACGCUGGCGGCGUGCUUAACACAUGCAAGUCGAACGGUGACGAGGAGCUUGCUCCUCUGAUCAGUGGCGAACGGGUGAGUAACACGUGAGCAACCUGCCCCAGACUCUGGGAUAACAGUUGGAAACAGCUGCUAAUACCGGAUACGAGACGGAGAGGCAUCUCUACCGUCUGGAAAGUUUUUCGGUCUGGGAUGGACUCGCGGCCUAUCAGCUAGUUGGUGAGGUAAUGGCUCACCAAGGCGACGACGGGUAGCCGGCCUGAGAGGGCGACCGGCCACACUGGGACUGAGACACGGCCCAGACUCCUACGGGAGGCAGCAGUGGGGAAUAUUGCACAAUGGGCGAAAGCCUGAUGCAGCGACGCCGCGUGAGGGAUGACGGCCUUCGGGUUGUAAACCUCUUUCAGCAGGGAAGAAGCGAAAGUGACGGUACCUGCAGAAGAAGCACCGGCUAACUACGUGCCAGCAGCCGCGGUAAUACGUAGGGUGCGAGCGUUGUCCGGAAUUAUUGGGCGUAAAGAGCUUGUAGGCGGUUUGUCGCGUCUGCAGUGAAAAUCCGAGGCUCAACCUCGGACUUGCUGUGGGUACGGGCAGACUAGAGUAUGGUAGGGGAGACCGGAAUUCCUGGUGUAGCGGUGGAAUGCGCAGAUAUCAGGAGGAACACCGAUGGCGAAGGCAGGUCUCUGGGCCAUAACUGACGCUGAGAAGCGAAAGCAUGGGGAGCGAACAGGAUUAGAUACCCUGGUAGUCCAUGCCGUAAACGUUGGGCGCUAGGUGUGGGGCUCAUUCCACGAGCUCCGUGCCGCAGCUAACGCAUUAAGCGCCCCGCCUGGGGAGUACGGCCGCAAGGCUAAAACUCAAAGGAAUUGACGGGGGCCCGCACAAGCGGCGGAGCAUGCGGAUUAAUUCGAUGCAACGCGAAGAACCUUACCAAGGCUUGACAUAUACCGGAAACAUCCAGAGAUGGGUGCCCCGCAAGGUCGGUAUACAGGUGGUGCAUGGUUGUCGUCAGCUCGUGUCGUGAGAUGUUGGGUUAAGUCCCGCAACGAGCGCAACCCUCGUUCUAUGUUGCCAGCGCGUAAUGGCGGGGACUCAUAGGAGACUGCCGGGGUCAACUCGGAGGAAGGUGGGGAUGACGUCAAAUCAUCAUGCCCCUUAUGUCUUGGCUUCACGCAUGCUACAAUGGCCGGUACAAAGGGCUGCGAUACCGCGAGGUGGAGCGAAUCCCAAAAAACCGGUCUCAGUUCGGAUUGGGGUCUGCAACUCGACCCCAUGAAGUCGGAGUCGCUAGUAAUCGCAGAUCAGCAACGCUGCGGUGAAUACGUUCCCGGGCCUUGUACACACCGCCCGUCAAGUCACGAAAGUCGGUAACACCCGAAGCCGGUGGCCCAACCCUUGUGGAGGGAGCCGUCGAAGGUGGGACUGGCGAUUGGGACU